GGCGGCGUGCUUAACACAUGCAAGUCGAACGGAGAUGUUGUGUGAGCGGAGAGUGCUUGCACUUAACAAUCUUUCAACAUCUUAGUGGCGGACGGUGAGUAACGCGUGGGUAACCUGCCUCAUACAGGGGGGAUAACACUUAGAAAUGACUGCUAAUACCGCAUAAGCGCACAGUAUCGCAUGAUACAGUGUGAAAAACUCCGGUGGUAUGAGAUGGACCCGCGUCUGAUUAGCUAGUUGGUGAGGUAAUGGCUCACCAAGGCGACGAUCAGUAGCCGGCCUGAGAGGGUGAUCGGCCACAUUGGGACUGAGACACGGCCCAAAACUCCUACGGGAGGCAGCAGUGGGGAAUAUUGCACAAUGGGGGAAACCCUGAUGCAGCGACGCCGCGUGAGUGACGAAGUAUUUCGGUAUGUAAAGCUCUAUCAGCAGGGAAGAAAAUGACGGUACCUGACUAAGAAGCACCGGCUAAAUACGCG
RNAcentral lists this ribosomal RNA (479 nucleotides) under uncultured bacterium. Its description in RNAcentral is "bacterial SSU rRNA". It matches the Rfam family "Bacterial small subunit ribosomal RNA", at positions 38 to 507 of the family's 1533-position model. The record is from RNAcentral.